Molecule: ribosomal RNA, 380 nt
Filed under: uncultured eukaryote
Lineage: Eukaryota
Description: partial 18S ribosomal RNA
Rfam family: Eukaryotic small subunit ribosomal RNA
Source: RNAcentral
CAAUAGCGUAUAUUAAAGCUGUUGCGGUUAAAAAGCUCGUAGUUGGAUUUCUGUCAAGUACAACUGGUCCGCCCUCCGGGUGAGCACAUAGUUUGGUCUUGGCAUCUUGCUGGAAAUUGUUGCUGCACUUGGCUGUGUGGCGCAGUGUCCAGCACUUUCACUUUGAGGAAAUUGGAGUGUUUCAAGCAGGCAAUGCCUUUGAACACAGUAGCAUGGAAUAAUUAGAUUGGGCUUUUGCUCCAAUUUGUCGGUUUCUGGAGCUGAGGUGAGAAUUAAUGGGGAUUGUUGGGGGCAUCCGAAUUUAGCCGUCAGAGGUGAAAUUCUUGGAUUUCUGGAAGACGAACUACUGCGAAAGCAUUUACCAAGGAUGUUUUCAUUGA